RNAcentral lists this ribosomal RNA (274 nucleotides) under uncultured bacterium. RNAcentral's name for it is "partial 16S ribosomal RNA". It matches the Rfam family "Bacterial small subunit ribosomal RNA", at positions 523 to 796 of the family's 1533-position model. The record is from RNAcentral.
CUACGGAGGGUGCAAGCGUUACUCGGAAUCACUGGGCGUAAAGCGCGCGCAGGCGGGCUGAUAAGUUGGAUGUGAAAGCCUACGGCUCAACCGUAGAACUGCAUCCAAAACUGUCAGUCUAGAGUGUGGGAGAGGAAGAUGGAAUUAGUUGUGUAGGGGUAAAAUCCGUAGAGAUAACUAGGAAUACCAAAAGCGAAGGCAAUCUUCUGGAACACUUCUGACGCUGAGGCGCGAAGGCGUGGGGAGCAAACAGGAUUAGAAACCCCAGUAGUCC